AGCACGCUUUAUUAUGAUGACUAGAGUGCAUUUGGCUCGAGAUCUAGUUUACUGGGUCGAUGUGGAAAAACACACGCUACCUUUAACUUUUGUCUGAAU
This 99-nucleotide small nucleolar RNA is filed under the name Lipomyces starkeyi NRRL Y-11557. Lineage: Eukaryota; Fungi; Ascomycota; Lipomycetes; Lipomycetales; Lipomycetaceae. The record is from RNAcentral.